GUCUGGGAAACUGCCUGAUGGAGGGGGAUAACUACUGGAAACGGUAGCUAAUACCGCAUAACGUCGCAAGACCAAAGAGGGGGACCUUCGGGCCUCUUGCCAUCGGAUGUGCCCAGAUGGGAUUAGCUUGUUGGUGGGGUAACGGCUCACCUAGGCGACGAUCCCUAGCUGGUCUGAGAGGAUGACCAGCCACACUGGAACUGAGACACGGUCCAGACUCCUACGGGAGGCAGCAGUGGGGAAUAUUGCACAAUGGGCGCAAGCCUGAUGCAGCCAUGCCGCGUGUAUGAAGAAGGCCUUCGGGUUGUAAAGUACUUUCAGCGGGGAGGAAGGGAGUAAAGUUAAUACCUUUGCUCAUUGACGUUACCCGCAGAAGAAGCACCGGCUAACUCCGUGCCAGCAGCCGCGGUAAUACGGAGGGUGCAAGCGUUAAUCGGAAUUACUGGGCGUAAAGCGCACGCAGGCGGUUUGUUAAGUCAGAUGUGAAAUCCCCGGGCUCAACCUGGGAACUGCAUCUGAUACUGGCAAGCUUGAGUCUCGUAGAGGGGGGUAGAAUUCCAGGUGUAGCGGUGAAAUGCGUAGAGAUCUGGAGGAAUACCCGUGGCGAAAGCGGCCCCCUGGACCAACACUGACGCUCUGGUGCGAAAGCGUGUGGAGCAAACA
Molecule: ribosomal RNA, 663 nt
Filed under: uncultured Escherichia sp.
Lineage: Bacteria; Pseudomonadati; Pseudomonadota; Gammaproteobacteria; Enterobacterales; Enterobacteriaceae
Description: bacterial SSU rRNA
Rfam family: Bacterial small subunit ribosomal RNA
Source: RNAcentral